AACUAAUUGUGAUUUUCUCGGAACCCUGUC
RNAcentral lists this non-coding RNA (30 nucleotides) under Mus musculus (house mouse). Lineage: Eukaryota; Metazoa; Chordata; Mammalia; Rodentia; Muridae. The record is from RNAcentral.